GAUGAACGCUGGCGGCGUGCCUAAUACAUGCAAGUCGAGCGAACGGACGAGAAGCUUGCUUCUCUGAUGUUAGCGGCGGACGGGUGAGUAACACGUGGAUAACCUACCUAUAAGACUGGGAUAACUUCGGGAAACCGGAGCUAAUACCGGAUAAUAUUUUGAACCGCAUGGUUCAAAAGUGAAAGACGGUCUUGCUGUCACUUAUAGAUGGAUCCGCGCUGCAUUAGCUAGUUGGUAAGGUAACGGCUUACCAAGGCAACGAUGCAUAGCCGACCUGAGAGGGUGAUCAGCCACACUGGAACUGAGACACGGUCCAGACUCCUACGGGAGGCAGCAGUAGGGAAUCUUCCGCAAUGGGCGAAAGCCUGACGGAGCAACGCCGCGUGAGUGAUGAAGGUCUUCGGUUCGUAAAACUCUGUUAUUAGGGAAGAACAUAUGAGUAAGUAACUGUGCACAUCUUGACGGUACCUAAUCAGAAAGCCACGGCUAACUACGUG
This 497-nucleotide ribosomal RNA is filed under the name uncultured bacterium. RNAcentral's name for it is "partial 16S ribosomal RNA". It matches the Rfam family "Bacterial small subunit ribosomal RNA", at positions 28 to 507 of the family's 1533-position model. The record is from RNAcentral.